UACGUAGGUGACCAGCGUUGUCCGGAUUUACUGGGCGUAAAGAGCGCGCAGGCGGUCGUUCAAGUCGAGUGUGAAAGCCCCCGGCUCAACUGGGGAGGGUCACUCGAUACUGAUCGACUGGAAGGCAGGAGAGGGAAGCGGAAUUCCCGGUGUAGUGGUGAAAUGCGUAGAUAUCUGGAGGAACACCGGUGGCGAAGGCGGCAUCCUGGACCGACAUUGACGCUGAGGCGCGAAAGCCAGGGGAGCAAACGGG
RNAcentral lists this ribosomal RNA (253 nucleotides) under uncultured bacterium. RNAcentral describes it as "partial 16S ribosomal RNA". It matches the Rfam family "Bacterial small subunit ribosomal RNA", at positions 524 to 776 of the family's 1533-position model. The record is from RNAcentral.